ACCGAGGAGGAUGGAGAGGGUCUUUACCUGCUUUACCUUUACCUGCCUCAUGCUGGAUUUCUUCAGGGGAGGUCCCCACACCAUUUCCACCAUUGUUAGGAUUGGCAGGCACUGUCGCGAGCAGCCCUGUGAAGUGGGGACAAAAGAAGAGUUGUGCAGUCAGUCUACCACACCCCCAUAGAGAACAAUUGAUAAUGAUAAUAUAAAAGACAACAAAGUCACUAUAUCGGCAAAGAAUCUCAGAAUAGGCGUACUGAUCUACGAUCAGGUCCGCCCUCCCUUAUUCAUUAUGAUUAAAAAUGCAAAACUGAUCCUAGAUCAGUAUGCCUAUUCUGAGACACUUUGAAUAGCUGAAUAGUUUAUCAUUGAAAUCAUUUGAAUAAGUACCAGAAAAUGGCUGAUUUUAAGUGGAUUUUCAGGCUAUUAGCUGUAGUUUCAGCAGGUUGUGCUCGGUGCUCACCCAGACCGCGGUAGCAGGAGAGCUGUUGGUAGAUCUGCGUCAUCCUCUGGAUGUUGAGGCGGCUGGCCUCGGUGUGGUGCACCAUGGGCUUGGGGUAAUGCAUGCCGAUCACGCACUUGGCUGCCUUCUGCACGCUCUCGGGCGCGUUCCAGGGGUCGAAGAUGUACUUGGCUGGGAAGGCCUUCAGUAUGGGCAGAUAGCGCCUGGAAGAACCAAACAGAGAAAUUACAUUGUUUAAAAAAAAAGAACCACAGUGACACACUUCUUCUGCAAUGAACAAUCGAGAAACAAAUGUACAUUUCUAGUGGGUACAGCAUGGACAUUUAACCAAGACUCUAUGAAGUGUAUGACAUGACCUCUAGCAGUUUGUCAUGGUAUUCUGCAUGUCCUACAUGUUGUCACAAGCAUGGUGAAAUAAAGCACUGAGGUCUAUUACUUUGAGAGUACUUCAAAGGGAAAAUAACUUGUGUACCACACUGGCUAAAUAUAGUGGAGGGGCGGACAACUGGGUGUAGGGAGGGUCUUCUCACCGUAUGUAGUCUCCGUUUGGGUCCGUCCUCCUGCCGAAGCCCACAGGGCAGUAGCAGUGGAAAAACUGCUGGAAGAAGGAGCUGCACGAGAGCCACAUCCAGCUGCCUGCAUUCACACUCCAGUCUGCAUCCAGGAGCAGCUCCUCAAAUACCUGACAGGUAAAUAAACACACACACGGUCAGAUAUCACAGUCAUACAUUUUCUACCUACUUGUCAUUUCGUCUCCCCACUCCCUCUAACAUCCCCUUCCUCCAGUAUCUACCUUCAUGCCCUCCUCCCAGCUGAUCCACAGGUCUCCUCUAGUGAGAAAGCAGGCCACAGCAUGUCUGGCCAGGUGGUGGAUCCAGCCCUCCUGCCUCAGCUGGGUCAUGAUGGCGUCAAUCCAGGGGAACCCUGUCCUCCCCUCGGCCCACUUGGCCAGUGCUUCCGGGUUGCGGUCCCAGGGGAUCUGCACACACACCGGAUUGCCCUCCAUUUUGUCAAAGCGGGGGUUGUUGGUGGCUGUGGUGUAGAAGAACUCGCGCCACAACAGCUGGCCAUAGAGCGAGAGGGGCGGAGAGCUGUUUUUCUUCACCUUCCUGUAGAGGUCAGUGAGUUUGAAGUAAAAGAGGCGACAGGAGAGGCAGCCGAAGCGGAGGUAGGGGCUGAGGCCCGUGGGGCUGGCCAGCAGGGAGUUGGCGUUCAUCCGGGGACGCUCAAAGUUGGCCACCCAUGCCUGGAACACAGAAGGUGCCUCUCCAGGCGAGUGAGGGCCUCCGUCUCUCCCCCCGGCCAUACUGCUGUAGCCAGGCCUUCGGUCUCAAAGCCAAGCUCCUCCAGGGAGGGUACGGCAAACUUGUCGUCAUGGUCAUCACUGAUGGGCGUGGCACACUUCCUCAUGACCUCAGCAGUGAUGGUCUCAGCGGGCGAUUCCACGGCAUCCAUGUGACUGAUGAGCGCCUGGAAACGCUUGUAGGUGAGAGGGGACUGGCCUCCGUUUAGCUCGAUGAUCCUACAGAGACACAUGGACAGACAUGGAGGUCGUAGAGCGUGUGGGAGACUUUGACAGUAACCUCCACACCGGCCUCGCUGGCCAACUUCUGGAUGGCGGCGUCACGUUCCUUGCCAAAGGGCUCAGAGUCGUACUCAUAAGACAGCUGUCUGGUCUGCCAUUCCUGGGAAGCAGAGAGAG
Salvelinus namaycush (lake trout) is the source of this 2162-nucleotide long non-coding RNA. RefSeq lists it as uncharacterized. The transcript has 3 exons. The record is from RefSeq and is a predicted model, not a curated record. Lineage: Eukaryota; Metazoa; Chordata; Actinopteri; Salmoniformes; Salmonidae.